UACGUAGGGUGCAAGCGUUAAUCGGAAUUACUGGGCGUAAAGCGUGCGCAGGCGGUGAUGUAAGACAGAUGUGAAAUCCCCGGGCUCAACCUGGGAACUGCAUUUGUGACUGCAUCGCUGGAGUGCGGCAGAGGGGGAUGGAAUUCCGCGUGUAGCAGUGAAAUGCGUAGAUAUGCGGAGGAACACCGAUGGCGAAGGCAGCUCUCUGGGACGGUACUGACGCUGAGGUGCGAAAGCGUGGGGAGCAAACAGG
RNAcentral lists this ribosomal RNA (253 nucleotides) under uncultured bacterium. Its description in RNAcentral is "partial 16S ribosomal RNA". It matches the Rfam family "Bacterial small subunit ribosomal RNA", at positions 524 to 776 of the family's 1533-position model. The record is from RNAcentral.